AGCGUAGACGGUGUGGCAAGUCUGAUGUGAAAGGCAUGGGCUCAACCUGUGGACUGCAUUGGAAAUUGUCAUACUUGAGUGCCGGAGGGGUAAGCGGAAUUCCUAGUGUAGCGGUGAAAUGCGUAGAUAUUAGGAGGAACACCAGUGGCGAAGGCGGCUUACUGGACGGUAACUGACGUUGAGGCUCGAAAGCGUGGGGAGCAGACA
This 207-nucleotide ribosomal RNA is filed under the name uncultured bacterium. RNAcentral describes it as "partial 16S ribosomal RNA". It matches the Rfam family "Bacterial small subunit ribosomal RNA", at positions 568 to 774 of the family's 1533-position model. The record is from RNAcentral.